This 179-nucleotide ribosomal RNA is filed under the name Pseudomonas aeruginosa. RNAcentral describes it as "partial 23S ribosomal RNA". It matches the Rfam family "Bacterial large subunit ribosomal RNA", at positions 2748 to 2925 of the family's 2925-position model. Lineage: Bacteria; Pseudomonadati; Pseudomonadota; Gammaproteobacteria; Pseudomonadales; Pseudomonadaceae. The record is from RNAcentral. RNAcentral also lists the same sequence under 1 other name.
GCUAUGUAGGGAAGGGAUAAACGCUGAAAGCAUCUAAGUGUGAAACCCACCUCAAGAUGAGAUUUCCCAUGAUUUUAUAUCAGUAAGAGCCCUGAGAGAUGAUCAGGUAGAUAGGUUAGAAGUGGAAGUGUGGCGACACAUGUAGCGGACUAAUACUAAUAGCUCGAGGACUUAUCCAA